GCCGGGAGUCUGGAGUGGUGCAGCCCCAGGGGGAUUUGGGUGAGGGGAUUUGAGGAAUGGGUUGUAGAAUUUGGGGCGGGAGGGAGGAGGGAGCCCCAGGAGUGAGGCUGGUGGCUGUCAGGUCACCUGAGAGGGACGCGGUGAGGUGCCCGGGUGUCUCACCUGCCUGCUUGCGUCCACCUGGUGUGUACAGUCUGCGGUCGGCAUAGCUGUUCAUUGUGGAAAAAAGAAAGGAAAAAGGCAAAAAGUUACUUCCUCUCCAAUUGCCAGUACCCUUUACUUAGGCAUUGGGAAGGCCUAGUUGCAGGGCUCUGAUGCAAUGUUUUUGUCUUUGUCUUGGUGACAAAGAUAGUUCAUCUGUUACCACUUCAUCAUCUAUCACUGCUUCAUCUGAGCACUGUACAUACAAGGAUUAAUAGUGUCUUUUCUCUGGUUUUAGUGCUAGUUUGUACACGUUUAACCAAUGGAAACACAGUACCUUUAUCUAUUUGUACAAGAUGACAGUCAAAUCUCCACAAAGGAGCAGCUCCAAGGGGUGCCAGGGUUCCUCAAAUACACCCUUUAAGGGAGCAAAUUACUGUAAACUGUGGUCUUUUAAAAUUGCAGAAUAUCCUGCUUACCAGGGUAGAGCACGUUGCUGGAGCAGUAUGGUAAGUUAACUCUGUGAAUGAACAGCAAGUUAUAUUUCCUCUGGCAAAGGAGACGGGGAAAACAGAUGUUAAGGAAAAUACUCUGGCAGUGUUCUCAUGUUGAG
Molecule: long non-coding RNA, 754 nt
Filed under: Cairina moschata (Muscovy duck)
Lineage: Eukaryota; Metazoa; Chordata; Aves; Anseriformes; Anatidae
Description: domestica (muscovy Duck (domestic type)) lncRNA (ENSCMMG00000001601.1)
Source: RNAcentral